This 254-nucleotide ribosomal RNA is filed under the name uncultured bacterium. Its description in RNAcentral is "partial 16S ribosomal RNA". It matches the Rfam family "Bacterial small subunit ribosomal RNA", at positions 524 to 776 of the family's 1533-position model. The record is from RNAcentral.
UACGUAGGGGGCGAGCGUUGUCCGAAGUUACUGGGCGUAAAGCGCGCGUAGGCGGCCUGCUAAGUCUGGUGUGAAAGGUCCAGGGCUCAACCCGGACAGUGCACUGGAUACUGGCAGGCUUGAGUGAGGCAGAGGAGAGUGGAAUUCCUGGUGUAGCGGUGAAAUGCGUAGAUAUCAGGAGGAACACCGAUGGCGAAGGCAGCUUUCUGGGCCUUUACUGACGCUGAGGUGCGAAAGCGUGGGGAGCGAACGGG